AAAACGACUCUCGGCAACGGAUAUCUCGGCUCUCGCAUCGAUGAAGAACGUAGCGAAAUGCGAUACUUGGUGUGAAUUGCAGAAUCCCGUGAAUCAUCGAGUCUUUGAACGCAAGUUGCGCCCCAAGCCGUUAGGCCGAGGGCACGCCUGCCUGGGUGUCACGC
This 164-nucleotide ribosomal RNA is filed under the name Acer velutinum. Its description in RNAcentral is "5.8S ribosomal RNA". It matches the Rfam family "5.8S ribosomal RNA". Rfam says of the family: 5.8S ribosomal RNA (5.8S rRNA) is a component of the large subunit of the eukaryotic ribosome. The record is from RNAcentral. Lineage: Eukaryota; Viridiplantae; Streptophyta; Magnoliopsida; Sapindales; Sapindaceae.